RNAcentral lists this ribosomal RNA (261 nucleotides) under uncultured prokaryote. RNAcentral's name for it is "partial 16S ribosomal RNA". It matches the Rfam family "Bacterial small subunit ribosomal RNA", at positions 524 to 784 of the family's 1533-position model. The record is from RNAcentral.
UACGUAGGUGGCGAGCGUUAUUCGGAAUUAUUGGGCGUAAAGAGCGCGCAGGUGGUUGAUUAAGUCUGAUGUGAAAGCCCACGGCUUAACCGUGGAGGGUCAUUGGAAACUGGUCGACUUGAGUGCAGAAGAGGGAAGUGGAAUUCCAUGUGUAGCGGUGAAAUGCGUAGAGAUAUGGAGGAACACCAGUGGCGAAGGCGGCUUCCUGGUCUGUAACUGACACUGAGGCGCGAAAGCGUGGGGAGCAAACAGGAUUAGAUA